This 73-nucleotide transfer RNA is filed under the name Verrucomicrobiota bacterium. Its description in RNAcentral is "Verrucomicrobia bacterium tRNA-Glu". It matches the Rfam family "tRNA". From Rfam's summary of the family: Transfer RNA (tRNA) molecules are approximately 80 nucleotides in length. Their secondary structure includes four short double-helical elements and three loops (D, anti-codon, and T loops). Further hydrogen bonds mediate the characteristic L-shaped molecular structure. tRNAs have two regions of fundamental functional importance: the anti-codon, which is responsible for specific mRNA codon recognition, and the 3' end, to which the tRNAs corresponding amino acid is attached (by aminoacyl-tRNA synthetases). tRNAs cope with the degeneracy of the genetic code in two manners: having more than one tRNA (with a specific anti-codon) for a particular amino acid; and 'wobble' base-pairing, i.e. permitting non-standard base-pairing at the 3rd anti-codon position. The record is from RNAcentral. RNAcentral also lists the same sequence under 2 other names. Lineage: Bacteria; Pseudomonadati; Verrucomicrobiota.
GGCCCUUUCGUCUAGAGGCCUAGGACACAAGGUUUUCAUCCUUGCAACCGGGGUUCGAAUCCCCGAAGGGUCA